RNAcentral lists this ribosomal RNA (458 nucleotides) under uncultured eukaryote. RNAcentral's name for it is "SSU rRNA". It matches the Rfam family "Eukaryotic small subunit ribosomal RNA", at positions 405 to 887 of the family's 1831-position model. The record is from RNAcentral.
GGCUACCACAUCUACGGAAGGCAGCAGGCGCGUAAAUUACCCAAUCCUGAUUCAGGGAGGUAGUGACAAGAAAUAACAACUCGGGGCCUCACGGCUUACGAGAUUGCAAUGAGAACAAUUUAAAUCUCUUAGCGAGGAACAAUUGGAGGGCAAGUCUGGUGCCAGCAGCCGCGGUAAUUCCAGCUCCAAUAGCGUAUAUUAAAGUUGUUGCAGUUAAAAAGCUCGUAGUUGAAUUUCUGAUUAUGGAUGUAGCGGUUUCCGUUACAUUUGUAGUCAUCCACAUGAGAACCUUUCUCGGCCUUCACUGGUCGGUUGGGGGAUCAUGUACUUUUACUUUGAAAAAUCAGAGUGUUUCAGGCAGGCGUUUGCAUGAAUACACAAGCAUGGAAUAAUGGAAUAGGACUAGGGUCCAUUUAUUGGUUAUUGGACAUAGUAAUGAUUAAUAGGGACAGUUGGGG